AAGCGGCAACAGCUCAAAUUUGAAAUCUGGCGUCUUUGGCGUCCGAGUUGUAAUUUGCAGAGGGCGCUUUGGCAUUGGCAGCGGUCCAAGUUCCUUGGAACAGGACGUCACAGAGGGUGAGAAUCCCGUACGUGGUCGCUAGCCUUUACCGUGUAAAGCCCCUUCGACGAGUCGAGUUGUUUGGGAAUGCAGCUCUAAAUGGGAGGUAAAUUUCUUCUAAAGCUAAAUACUGGCCAGAGACCGAUAGCGCACAAGUAGAGUGAUCGAAAGAUGAAAAGCACUUUGGAAAGAGAGUUAAAAAGCACGUGAAAUUGUUGAAAGGGAAGCGCUUGCAGCCAGACUUGCCUGUAGUUGCUCAUCUAGGUUUCUACCUAGUGCACUCUUCUAUAGGCAGGCCAGCAUCAGUUUGGGCGGUUGGAUAAAGGUCUCUGUCAUGUACCUCUCUUCGGGGAGAACUUAUAGGGGAGACGACAUGCAACCAGCCUGGACUGAGGUCCG
RNAcentral lists this ribosomal RNA (498 nucleotides) under Phoma sp. MU-156. RNAcentral's name for it is "eukaryotic LSU rRNA". It matches the Rfam family "Eukaryotic large subunit ribosomal RNA", at positions 96 to 604 of the family's 3401-position model. Lineage: Eukaryota; Fungi; Ascomycota; Dothideomycetes; Pleosporales; Didymellaceae. The record is from RNAcentral.